RNAcentral lists this ribosomal RNA (422 nucleotides) under uncultured bacterium. Its description in RNAcentral is "bacterial SSU rRNA". It matches the Rfam family "Bacterial small subunit ribosomal RNA", at positions 355 to 774 of the family's 1533-position model. The record is from RNAcentral.
UGAGGAAUAUUGGACAAUGGGCGCAAGCCUGAUCCAGCCAUGCCGCGUGCAGGAAGAAGCAUCUAUGGUGUGUAAACUGCUUUUGUACGGGAAGAAACACUCCUUCGUGAAGGAGCUUGACGGUACCGUAAGAAUAAGGAUCGGCUAACUCCGUGCCAGCAGCCGCGGUAAUACGGAGGAUCCAAGCGUUAUCCGGAAUCAUUGGGUUUAAAGGGUCCGUAGGCGGUUUAGUAGGUCAGUGGUGAAAGCCCAUCGCUCAACGAUGGAACGGCCAUUGAUACUGCUAGACUUGAAUUACAAGGAAGUAACUAGAAUAUGUAGUGUAGCGGUGAAAUGCUUAGAUAUUACAUGGAAUACCAGUUGCGAAGGCAGGUUACUACUUGUGGAUUGACGCUGAUGGAUGAAAGCGUGGGGAGCGAACA